GUCCCUGUAGUGCAAUGGAUAACCCGUUGGACUCAUAAUCCAAAGGUAGUAGGUUCGAAUCCCACCUGGGAUG
Molecule: non-coding RNA, 73 nt
Organism: Trichonephila inaurata madagascariensis
Lineage: Eukaryota; Metazoa; Arthropoda; Arachnida; Araneae; Nephilidae
Source: the annotation of a GenBank genome assembly